GACGAACGCUGGCGGCGUGCUUAACACAUGCAAGUCGAACGGAAAGGCCCUGCUUUUGUGGGGUGCUCGAGUGGCGAACGGGUGAGUAACACGUGAGUAACCUGCCCUGGACUUUGGGAUAACUUCAGGAAACUGGGGCUAAUACCGGAUAGGAGCUCCUGCUGCAGGGUGGGGGUUGGAAAGUUUCGGCGGUUGGGGAUGGACUCGCGGCUUAUCAGCUGGUUGGUGGGGUAGUGGCUUACCAAGGCUUUGACGGGUAGCCGGCCUGAGAGGGUGACCGGCCACAUUGGGACUGAGAUACGGCCCAGACUCCUACGGGAGGCAGCAGUGGGGAAUAUUGCACAAUGGGCGGAAGCCUGAUGCAGCAACGCCGCGUGCGGGAUGACGGCCUUCGGGUUGUAAACCGCUUUCGCCUGUGACGAAGCGUGAGUGACGGUAAUGGGUAAAGAAGCACCGGCUAACUACGU
Molecule: ribosomal RNA, 467 nt
Filed under: uncultured bacterium
Lineage: Bacteria
Description: partial 16S ribosomal RNA
Rfam family: Bacterial small subunit ribosomal RNA
Source: RNAcentral